UGAGGAGGAAAAGCAUAUUCUCUGUAAACCGCACGUUUAGAGCUGCAGCUUCUCCCACAGCCGAAAAGCAAAACGACUCUUGCGGGUGAUCUCUCUUAGGAUUGAGACCUGAAUUACUAUUCGGAAACGCUAAUUGCAAACGUUGGGAAGAAUCCUUAUACAGUGGUACCUCGGUUUACGAACUUAAUCCGUUCCAGAAGUCCAUUCUUAAACUGAAACCGUUCUUAAACUGAAAUGCACUUUCCCUAAUGAGGCCUCCUGCCGCUGGUGCCCUUCCACCGUUUGGAUUGCAUUCUUAGACCAAGGUAAAGUUCUCAAACCAAGACACUAUUUCUGGUUUUGAGGAGUUUGUAAACCAAAUUGUUCUUAAACCGGUCUGUUCUUAAACCGAAGUACCACUGUAAUCUGCUUGCUUGUACUAAAUAAACAGAAGAAGAGUGUAUAUUCAAGAUCUCUUAAUAAUUAAGGAAUAGCUAUAAUUGCUGCUUAGUGAUUCAGAGGGUUUAAUGAAAAUGGCCAAUAAUUCAUUGGUGUACUGGACUUUCAUUCAUCAACAGUUUUGUCGAUGAUCUAAAAGUGAAAAAUAAUUGAAGAGUGCCCUCUUCUGUUUAUUGCAUGAAUCACAAGUUUUGAAGCGGGACUGUUCCUGAACUUUGCGACUGCAGUGUAACAAGAAUGUGAAAUAUAUGUAUCUGAAGAAGUGUGCAUGCACACGAAAGCUUAUACCAAGAACAAAUUUAGUUGGUCUCUAAGGUGCUACUGGACAAUUUUUUUAUAUCUUGUGAUGCACAAGAUGCACUUUAUUGAUGCACAAAGCAGAGACGUUGAUAGGUGUAUACAAAUUCUGAGGUAUAUUGAAGGAUAAGUAAAAUUAACAAGGAGAGAAAGAAGUAUAUUCAAAAUAAACAGCUGUUUGAGAUAUAAAUUUGAUGGUGAUGAUGCAAUGAAUCCAAUACAGCACACAGAGCAACCACGCCUGUGCUUGCAGAUCCCUUUUAAGAAACAAUCAAUCACAUGUUUAGCAGGAGUGUUUUAGUAGAAACACUACUCCUUUACUAGCCAAUCAGUGGGAUCUUAGCCAUUUUCUUUCUUGUUAGCUUUACCAAAGUAUUAUUUGCAAAUCAUAUCAUAAAUGUUGCAGGGGAGAAGGCCAUGCACAUGUAUCCCAGCAUAGCUAUAUCUUAAAUGUCCAAAAUGCCUGUUCGAUCAUAAGUAAAGAUUGGCAUGUCUGGUUGUAGUGUGUCAUGUGGCCUGGCACAUCCAUUGUGCCAGGGCCUCAGCAGGAUGGGCUUCAGCAGGUGUUCACAGAUGUAUGAAAGAGAUAGCACAAUGGUCCUGCUCUGAGUGACUGCGCAGUUUGUGAGUUUGGACCUGUCAUGCCUAAAAUCAGGUGAAGUCAAACCAAAGUCAUGUUUUUGUCUGCCAUGUUGAUUCAAAAUGGCACAUGGUGUUAAAAAAUCAACAAAGAUGGUUGCCCACACUUCAGAAACCCUCAUUCUGAGUUUGGCGAAACUAUGCCAAAAAAUGGACAAAGUCACGUUACCAUCUGCCAUCUUGAUUCAAGAUGGCAUUGGCAUCCAAAUGUCAAUGAAAAUUGCUACUCCCACCUUGGGAAUCAUUGUGCUCAGUUUGGCAAUGACAUAGGUUCUCAAGAACCUAUAGAAAACAGGUGGAUGAACGGACAAAGUAUUUUCCAAAACAUACAGUAGAUAAAGUGAUCUGUCAAGUCACUUGAACUUGGCCCAAUAGGAGAUAGACAGCCAGUGUAAAUACCGCAAUAAAGGUUUUAUAUGCAGAUGGUACUUUGCCCCCACAAGUAACCUAGCUGCUGCAUUCUGCUAGUAUUUCUGACCUCUGCUUGGCUUCAGCGCUUUCUGCCAGUUGUGGCCCCUCCCAGUCACCACUGAGCAAGAUUUGGAUGCAGCAUUGUUUGCACUGCCAGAUUGUCAGCAGCCACACAAAAUGUGGUUAACCAUAGUUUGGAUUGCUGUGCUCAUGGAGAAGUGAAAUAGGCAUUACUAAUUGAAUAUAUACAAACUAAGGCCUCCAGUGUAACUACAUACAUGGGGGGGGGAAAGAAAAUGGACAUAGCAGGAGGCUCAAGGCAAACUUGCUAUCAGCAAUGCAAACCAGAACUACGGAAAAAGGGACGUGGAUCAUAAUCCCACAGUUCAUCUGCGAUCUUGGGGGCAGGCGGGGAACACAGCUUGUUUCUUCUAUAUGACUUACUGGAUAGUAAUGAACACUUCAUGUUCUCUCUCAUGUGCAAUAACCUGUAUUACCCUCUGGGGGGCAAUCUCUUUAAACAUCACAUUUGCUUAAUCUUUCAAUCUGAAACUCUAUCAAGCAGCAAGAUGGGAUAAACCUAGAUAAAAUGCCAGUUAAAAAUUAAUAUUCCUAAAUCAUUCAGUAAUGGCAGAAUACAGAUGUUUCUGCAACAAAUGCACACAGCCUUCCCUUUUAUGUGAACAUGAGUCAUUCAUUAUUAAAAAGAAUGGGGGAAAGUCUUCUUAUGAAAGCCAAAGAAACAUAUAAUCCAGUCAAUCUCGUAACCCCCUCCACAAAUUAAAAUCUAAAUAAUCUCAUUUUUUUCACAUUUCAUUUUUUAUGUCCUCCCUACCCCCACACCUCUCAUCAUUAAUUCAGCAAAUACUCUUAAAUCCUAGGAUCUAACUGUCCAUAUGGCAAAGUGAAAAGAUGUAAAUAUGAAAGAAAAUGUUGUUGUAACCCAGAUAAAUUAAAAAGAAUGUGAAAUUA
Podarcis raffonei (Aeolian wall lizard) is the source of this 2757-nucleotide long non-coding RNA. RefSeq lists it as uncharacterized. NCBI's taxonomy places the organism in Eukaryota, Metazoa, Chordata, Lepidosauria, Squamata, Lacertidae. The transcript is spliced from 2 exons. The record is from RefSeq and is a predicted model, not a curated record.